CCCAGAGAAAUUCUGGGAGCUCAGAAAAGGAGUAGAGUGAAUAUCUCAACGUAUGACCCCCCCACUCACACCCCUGGAAUAAAUAAGCACACGUUUUUUCCCAUUAGAUCCACAUUUCUCGGCACUCAGCACUGCCUAAAUUUCUCACACCUCAAGCUCAAGUCGAUCUUUCUAAAAUUAAGAUCCACAGAGAGGGCCUGACCUAGAAAGGACCAGCGUCUGGGUUCCAUAGUGGAGGACUUACCAAAUAUUGACCUAAAAGCCGUGGCUCAGAACUGGGUCUGCAGCCUGAGGAAGGGCACACAUGGAGUGAGGGCAGAACAAGGAGACUCAGCCCCAGGCAAAUGGCCGGGAACCAGCAGGAGAGGCGUUAUGAGAGAGAACCCCAUCCUGAGACCCCUGCAGAGAUGGGAGACCGGACCGCAGCUAAUCCACUCUGCUUCCAGCUCAGCUAAUCCACUCUGCUUCCAGCUCGGAGCUUCUCCAUCCUAGACGGUGUGGACCACGUGAGCAGGUCUCUGAAUCGUCCCUCUACCUGAGGUGGUUAGAACCCAUUGCUAUCAGGGCGCUUCUGUUGAUUCGCAUGGAAUCAAUAUGGCUGUUUGGUGACCAGAACAUAGCAUGGGACCAGUCCUUGAAGAAGCUGAGACUUCAGUCAGGCUCUCAAAUGAUGAGAAGAAAGCAUCUGGUUGUGGUUCUAAAGCCUGGGAUCCUAGCAAGAUGAACAGGUGGUGAUUAGACUGUUUGCUCAUCUGGGAGUGUUGGAAGGUAACCCCUAGGGAGGAAAUAGUGAAAAGCAUGUAGUGGGCUCUCAGGAAUAGCUGUUGUUUCAGGCAAAAGGAGUACACCUUUAAUAUGUCAUGCAAGACUGACAGGUAAGAAGGGGGGUUUUGAUGGGAAGGAGAAAAAAGAAAAUAAUUAAGAUAUGUAUAUUAUCUUGAUUGUGGGGAUGGUAUAGGUGUUUUCAUAUGUCCACACUCCUCAAAUGGUACACAUUAGAUGUGUGCAGUUCUUUUCAUAUCAAUUGUACCUCAAUAAAGCUGUUAAAAAUAAAUAAAAUAGGGACUUCCCUGGCGGUCCAGCGGUUAAAACUCUGCGCUUCCAAUGCAGGGGACGUGGGUUCGAUCUCUGGUCGGGGAACUAAGGUCCCACAUGCCACUCGGUGCGGCCAAAUAAAUAAAUAAAAUAAAAUUAUGGAGGACAACAUGCAGGAAAUUUUAAAAAGGAAUUGGAAAAAAAAAAAGAUACAGCCUGUGACCUUAAAAAGAGAAAAUUCAGUAGGGAAGACGAGUACCCACAUGACAAAAAUGUGUUAUAAUAGGAGGGGAAAAAAAAAAAAGGGAAAAUCUAGGACUUUUGGAACCAAGAAACUGGCAUUGCUUCCUGGAGGACAGGGUGAAAAAAAUGAGAAAUGCAAGUUGUUCAAAGAAGUCCAGGUAAAUUAAGUACACGUUCAUUAGCUAUAAUCAUCACCCUGUCUGGAUCUGUCUAGAGCGUAUGGGAAACAGACAAGGUCUGUGUGAGGUUCUGCAAAUUAUGCAAUAAGCAUCCUGUGACGUGAAAUAUCUCGGUUGUCAGAGGACUGAACUGGUGCAUUUCUUUGUAUCUCUGCAGGAAGGAGCCCAGUGCAAGACGACAGAGACCAUGCCAAGCGAGGAGGGCAUUCCUGAGUGAGUGGGGUGUUGGAGCCCAAGUAGGGUGAGGCCAGCAGGCUGGUGAAGCCCAGCAGAUUGAGAAGGGCACCCACACGGGGCAGGGCAUGCCUGUUGUGGGGUAUCGGAAACUGGACUGCGGUAAGGAGGGUUCUGACGUGGGUAGACGCUCUGACACAGGGUCAGACCCAAGCAGAGUGAGAAGGAUAUUUACAAAGGAGCAAAGGUGGCCAUUGCAAUGGACAGCUGGGUACCUGCAAGGAUCCAAUAUGUAAAUCUAUGAAGGAUAACAGGAGCCAGGUUUCUCAGUAUUGGAUAAGGGGAUUGCAAAUAUGGAAAGGCAGAACACUAGAAUAAACCUUACAAUAUUGCAAUUGGAUACAGAAGUAUUUCUGUAAACUCAUGGUUUUUCCAUAUGCAUAGAUAAAUUUAGAAUUAAAGAUACAUGUAAAUGUGUGUACAUGUAUGUACAUAUAUAUAUACGUAUAUUCCCGAACUCUGUCCACUGUGAUGAUCCUAGUCACCCCCAAAGCCCAGAUGUAGUGCCCAUGUCUUAUUUUCUGAACACCAUUAUCCAAUGUUUUAUCUAUGUAUGGUGAUAGAUGGUAACUAGAAUUAUUGUGGUGAUUAUUUUGUAAUGUACAGAAAUAUUGAAUUGUUGUGUUAUGCACCAAGAAAUAAUAUAGUGUUGUAGGUCAAUUAUACUUCAAACAGGCGAACGAACAAACAAACAAACUCAUAGCAAAAGAGAGCAGAGGCAAGAGGUUGGGCAAGAGGGAAUUGGAUGAAAGUGGUCAAAAGGUACAAACUUCCAGUUAUAACAUGAACAAGUACUGGGCAUGUCAUGUACAACAUGAUGAAUAUAAUUAACAUUGCUCUGUGUUAUGUAUGAAAGUUAAGAGAGUAAAUCCUAGAAGUUCUCAUCACAAGGAAAAAGAAUUUUCUUCCAUUUUGUAUCUAUGUGAAAUGAUGGACGUUCAUUAAACUUAUUGUGAUAAUCGUUUCAUGAUGUAUGUAAAUCACAUAAGUAUGCCGUACACCUUAAACUUACACAGUGCUGUAUGUCAAUUAUAUCUCAGUAAAACUGGACGAAAAAACACACAAAAAUAAAUAAAUACCAUAAUCCACUCAAAGGAACCAGGACUUUGCAGAAACAGCUGAUACCAAGACGGAGACAGGGAAAGUACAAGAUGAGACUUGGAUGUCUUCUUGUGCCAUGAAGGAAGGAAAUACUCAAAGAAUGAUGGAGACCCUGACAGGAAGGAAGGUUUAAGAAGGGAAACAAUUUCCCUAUUUCCAUAUCUCCUUUGGAUAAUACUUGAUACACAUUGAAAAAUUAUUAUUCUAUACCUAUCCUUUAAAAUUAAAGAAAAAAAUAGUACCAAAAGCUCACCUCAUGCCAGGCAAAUUAAUUUUUAGCAUUUACAUUUCAGCCUUGUAUCCUAACUUCCAUAAAGCCGCCAGUAAAAAUACACUAACAGCAACCAUACCACAUUUGGAACACAUUUUUUAAAUGGUUAGAUUGACUCAUUACAUAUGGUCUCUUACUAUUUUCCAUUAUAUUCAUUUAUGCAUUUGUUCAUUAAAUAAGCAUGUAUUAAGUACCUGCAAAGUGUUGAGUAUAGUUAGAUGAGCUGAGGACACUGGGAGGUCCCGGCACAUCAGCCUGGUAAACGGCGGGGAGGAGUUUACCCUAACUGGCUCAUGCUGUUUCAGACUUGGACAGAGGCUCGGAGGCCAUUAUUUCAGACUCUCCCCUCAUCCAGGUUUCAUGGAUGAAGAAAUGAGAAGGUGAGAAGAUGAAAUGAUUGAGCCAUCUAAAAACCAAUUAUAUUUUAACGUUCCUAAAAUACACACUUUAAAACUCUCCAAACUAUACAUUAUCUGAAAAACCUGAUUUAUUGCUCCUAUAAGUCUAGUAGCAUUUUGAGGAUGAGAACAUUGUCUUUUUCACAAAUGCUUGUUGAGCUAAUUAAAAUAGUCUAUGUGCUCCAUGAGGGUCUGUUUUACUCCCUUCUCUAUUCCUAGUCCUUGAACAAUACCUGGCAUAUAUAGUACAUGUUCAACAAACACUUAUUGAAAAAUAUUUUAAAAAAAGAAGAAUAUGCUAAGCAAGUGUGUAUAUGGUGGUGGUAGUUGGCGAUGUUUCGCCAGCACGUGAUACGGUGCUUCAGAUGUCUCCUUGCCUGUGUAUUUCCCUGCCUUAAACGUCUCUGCUUCAUCCCUACCCAUCAUCUCUGCUCUCAGUGCUCUAUCAGGAGGACUGGGGUCCCAUGACUGAGAUGAGGUUAACGUGCCUCUUUGACCCCUAUGAGGAGCUGUGACUUUACUGAAAC
Globicephala melas (long-finned pilot whale) is the source of this 3988-nucleotide long non-coding RNA. RefSeq lists it as uncharacterized. NCBI's taxonomy places the organism in Eukaryota, Metazoa, Chordata, Mammalia, Artiodactyla, Delphinidae. The record is from RefSeq and is a predicted model, not a curated record.